AGCAUCAAAGUUGGAGUGCCUUAAGUAGGUCUCUCUGGCAUUCCUUUCAUCAUUAAUUGUGUCUGCUAUAUAUGAUGUUGGAUAUACCCUGCAUGAGUUUAUGAUUUGGAGCAAGUCCAUAUUUAGUACUUGAGAUUGUACCUGAUAUGAUUUCGGUUCUUGAUAUGGAAAAGUUUAAACAUUUUGAAUCCAUUGAAUUUUUGUAAUCAAAUUCUUUUAACUUUCCUUCAUAUAUAGAGCUUACUGGUGUUUUAGCUUAGAGUUUGAAACUUCCCCCCUUCAGAUAUAUCUUUCAAUCUGAAUGGUAUCGAUGGUUUUGUUGGUUAGGGUGAUAUAAGAAGAUCAUAAGCCAAAAAGCGUACCAGUUCUGCCAUGGAUAUGAACCCCAAUUGAUGUCAAUGCCUUGGAAAAAAACCCCUCUCUAUUCUGCCUUGACUUGACCCCAGGUUGGUCUGAAAGACCUCAAAACAAAACCAAAAAAAAAAAAAAAACAA
Rosa rugosa (rugosa rose) is the source of this 494-nucleotide long non-coding RNA. RefSeq lists it as uncharacterized. The record is from RefSeq and is a predicted model, not a curated record. NCBI's taxonomy places the organism in Eukaryota, Viridiplantae, Streptophyta, Magnoliopsida, Rosales, Rosaceae. The transcript has 2 exons.